GUUUUAAGAACAGCAGCACCUAUACUAAAAUUUGAAUGAUACAGAGAAGAUAAGAAUGGCUUCUAAGUGAGGAUGACACAUAAAUUCGAUGAGUUCCAUAUUUUU
Arvicola amphibius (Eurasian water vole) is the source of this 105-nucleotide small nuclear RNA. Lineage: Eukaryota; Metazoa; Chordata; Mammalia; Rodentia; Cricetidae. The record is from RefSeq and is a predicted model, not a curated record.